AUUGAGCACGUAGGUGGGUUUGUAAGUCAGAUGUGAAAGCCUUCUGUUCAACGGAAGAAUUGCAUCUGAAACUGCGAGUCUUGAGUGUAGGAGGGGAGAAUGGAACUUCUGGUGGAGCGGUGAAAUGCGUAGAUAUCAGAAGGAACGCCGGCGGCGAAAGCGAUUCUCUGGCCUAUUACUGACACUCAGUGUGCGAAAGCUAGGGGAGCAAACGGGAUUAGAUACCCCGGUAGUCCUAGCCGUAAACGAUGGGCACUAAGUAGAGGGG
This 268-nucleotide ribosomal RNA is filed under the name uncultured Planctomycetota bacterium. RNAcentral's name for it is "uncultured planctomycete partial 16S ribosomal RNA". It matches the Rfam family "Bacterial small subunit ribosomal RNA", at positions 565 to 828 of the family's 1533-position model. Lineage: Bacteria; Pseudomonadati; Planctomycetota. The record is from RNAcentral.